AAAAAUGUAAAUACCUUUAUUAUAAAACAAAUUCCACCUGUUAUUGAUGAUCCUAAAUGGGAAUCUUAUCCCAUUAAAUUUCAUGGAUAUUAUGAUUUAUUAGAAGAAGCUAGACAGAGAGCAACAAACUAUUCUUCAAAUAAGGAAAGCAAUAUAAAUGAAAUAAAGAAGUCCGCACAAGACAGUUGAAUAAAACUGUUUCUCACGAUGAGUCAGAAUCUGAUUCUGAUGACUCACGUUUAGUUAUACCAAAUCCACCAAAUCUUACUGUAAAUACAAAUGCCUCGCAAUCAAUUAACAAAAGUCAAUCUAUCGCAACUGUUAUUAAUUCAUCAGUUGUCAGCAAUGAUAUUGACCUGGAGAUUCUUGAUGGAAUUUUAGUAUCACUUAAAAGUAUACAGGAUGUACAUACGUUAAUAUCAGAUGGAUUCGAAAAAAUGGAAGGUCAUUUUAAGAAUAUAUAUACAGCUAUAACUACAGUUACAUUAGGAAUACAAGAAUGAAUACUAAAUGUUCA
Molecule: non-coding RNA, 517 nt
Organism: Nylanderia fulva
Lineage: Eukaryota; Metazoa; Arthropoda; Insecta; Hymenoptera; Formicidae
Source: RefSeq, a predicted model, not a curated record